CGAUGGGGGGGUGUAGGCGGUACGAUGGGGGGUGCAGGCGGUACGAUGGGGGGGCCGGUCACACAGCUCAGACCCAGGAAACUGCAAACCCAGGCGUCCGACCGAGCCCUGCUCUUUCCAAGAUGCCCUUGCUCCUCCUCCAGCUGCACAAACCCCAACCGCAGACCAGCGUGUUGGCCAGUUCCUGGGCCCACAGGCCUAUGCGGC
This 207-nucleotide long non-coding RNA is filed under the name Homo sapiens (human). RNAcentral's name for it is "HSALNT0270239". The record is from RNAcentral. Lineage: Eukaryota; Metazoa; Chordata; Mammalia; Primates; Hominidae.